RNAcentral lists this ribosomal RNA (484 nucleotides) under uncultured bacterium. Its description in RNAcentral is "partial 16S ribosomal RNA". It matches the Rfam family "Bacterial small subunit ribosomal RNA", at positions 30 to 507 of the family's 1533-position model. The record is from RNAcentral.
AUUGAACGCUGGCGGCAGGCCUAACACAUGCAAGUCGAGCGGAUGAAGGGAGCUUGCUCCUGGAUUCAGCGGCGGACGGGUGAGUAAUGCCUAGGAAUCUGCCUGGUAGUGGGGGAUAACGUCCGGAAACGGGCGCUAAUACCGCAUACGUCCUGAGGGAGAAAGUGGGGGAUCUUCGGACCUUACGCUAUCAGAUGAGCCUAGGUCGGAUUAGCUAGUUGGUGGGGUAAAGGCCUACCAAGGCGACGAUCCGUAACUGGUCUGAGAGGAUGAUCAGUCACACUGGAACUGAGACACGGUCCAGACUCCUACGGGAGGCAGCAGUGGGGAAUAUUGGACAAUGGGCGAAAGCAUGAUCCAGCCACGCCGCGUGUGUGAAGAAGGUCUUCGGAUUGUAAAGCACUUUAAGUUGGGAGGAAGGGCAGUAAGUUAAUACCUUGCUGUUUUGACGUUACCAACAGAAUAAGCACCGGCUAACUUCGUG